AGUGAGGACGACAAGAGGUCAUUCUCAUCGCCAUUUUGUUUUUGGUGGUUUUUGUCUGGCUUCGUUACUGCAACCAGUUUUAUCAGCAAGGUCUUUAUCACCUGUAUUUUGUGCUGACCUCCUAUCUCAUCCUGUGACUUGGAAUGCCUUAACAACUGUCUGGAACGCAGCCCAGAGUCUCACUCUGUCAUCCAGUCUGGAGUGCAAUGGUGUAAUCUCGGCUUACUGCAACAUCCACCUCCCAGGUUCAAGCUAUUCUGCCUCAGCAUCCUAAGUAGCUGGGAUUACAGAUGCAUGCCACCACGCCCAGCUUGCAUUAUGUUUUAUCAUUCUAAGUGGAUAAAAACUCCAGCUGAUCACAUACAAUAACAGAAUUAAGCUACAUGCAGAUAUUCCAGCAGAGGAUCCUGAUACCAAAAAGGAUUGCGGAGCCACAGGUUGAAAAUAGCAGAGACUCCAUGGUUCUCUUAAUGAUUGCAUGGAACAAUAACACAUGAUCCCUGUGAUGGUUAGUAGUAGUUGUCAAACUUAGAUUGGAUUGAAGGAUGCAAAGUAUUGUUUCUGGGUGUGUCCGUGAGGAUGUUGCUACAGGAGAUUAACAACUGAGUCACUGGACUGGGAGAGGCAGACCCACCCUUAAUCUGGGUGGGCAUCAUACCACUGGCUGCCAGGGAGGCUAGAAAAAGGAGGCAGAAGAAGGUUUAAUGAGCGUACUUGCUGAGUCUUCCAGCCUUCAUAUUUCUCCUAUCUUGAAUGCUCCCUGCCCCUCCAACA
Symphalangus syndactylus (siamang) is the source of this 774-nucleotide long non-coding RNA. RefSeq lists it as uncharacterized. The record is from RefSeq and is a predicted model, not a curated record. Lineage: Eukaryota; Metazoa; Chordata; Mammalia; Primates; Hylobatidae.